CUUGUCCCUAGAGGCAUUGCAGGGGUGGCUGCUGUGUCACAGGUGUGUCAGUAGGUGGCAGAAAACCAAGAGGCCAUGUCUAUACUCAGUGUUCUGACCAGUGAAUAUCCUGGGACUGAAGGCCUCUGGCA
Arvicanthis niloticus (Nile rat) is the source of this 131-nucleotide small nucleolar RNA. RefSeq annotates it as small nucleolar RNA SNORA17. Lineage: Eukaryota; Metazoa; Chordata; Mammalia; Rodentia; Muridae. The record is from RefSeq and is a predicted model, not a curated record.